ACUCCUACGGGGAGGCAGCAGUGGGGGAAUAUUGCACAAUGGGGGAAACCCUGAUGCAGCCAUGCCGCGUGUGUGAAGAAGGCCUUCGGUUGUAAAGCACUUUCAGUAGGGAGGAAGGUAGUGUAGUUAACACCUGCACUAUUUGUACGUUACCUACAGAAGAAGCACCGGCUAACUCCGUGCCAGCAGCCGCGGUAAGUACGGAGGGUGCGAGCGUUAAUCGGAAUUACUGGGCGUAAAGCGCAUGCGAGGUCGGCCUGUUAAGUCAGAUAGUGAAACGCCCGGGGUACCUUAACCGUCGGUAAUUGCAUUUAGAAACGUGGACGAGGCUAGAGUCUUAGUAGGAGGGGUUAGAAUUUCAGGUGUAGCGGUGAAAGUGCGUAGAGAUCUGAAGGAAUACCAGUGGCGAAGGCGG
RNAcentral lists this ribosomal RNA (415 nucleotides) under uncultured bacterium. RNAcentral's name for it is "bacterial SSU rRNA". It matches the Rfam family "Bacterial small subunit ribosomal RNA", at positions 335 to 724 of the family's 1533-position model. The record is from RNAcentral.